RNAcentral lists this ribosomal RNA (450 nucleotides) under uncultured bacterium. RNAcentral's name for it is "partial 16S ribosomal RNA". It matches the Rfam family "Bacterial small subunit ribosomal RNA", at positions 354 to 796 of the family's 1533-position model. The record is from RNAcentral.
GUGGGGAAUAUUGGACAAUGGGCGAAAGCCUGAUCCAGCCAUGCCGCGUGUGUGAAGAAGGCCUUCGGGUUGUAAACUGCUUUUGUACGGAACGAAACGGUCCUGGCUAAUAUCCGGGGCUAAUGACGGUACCGUAAGAAUAAGCACCGGCUAACUACGUGCCAGCAGCCGCGGUAAUACGUAGGGUGCGAGCGUUAAUCGGAAUUACUGGGCGUAAAGCGUGCGCAGGCGGUGCUGUAAGACAGGCGUGAAAUCCCCGGGCUCAACCUGGGAAUUGCGCUUGUGACUGCAGUGCUGGAGUGCGGCAGAGGGGGAUGGAAUUCCGCGUGUAGCAGUGAAAUGCGUAGAUAUGCGGAGGAACACCGAUGGCGAAGGCAAUCCCCUGGGCCUGCACUGACGCUCAUGCACGAAAGCGUGGGGAGCAAACAGGAUUAGAAACCCCUGUAGUCC